GUGCUCGCUUCAGCAGCGCAAACACUAAAAUUGGAACGAUGCAGAGAACAUGAGCAUGGCCCCUGCGCAAGGAUGACACGCAAAUUCAUAAAGCGUUCCAUAUUUUU
This 107-nucleotide small nuclear RNA is filed under the name Suricata suricatta (meerkat). Lineage: Eukaryota; Metazoa; Chordata; Mammalia; Carnivora; Herpestidae. The record is from RNAcentral.